CCCUUCCUCUCAGUCACGGCUCAAGGUACAGCCGAUACGAAGCGCCACGGGUUACGAUGCUAAUAAUCAAUCGAAUUAGUUUAAUUUACGAUUGCCUUUUUUUUCCAGUCUUGAAAUGAUGUCACAAUAAAAGAUAUAGUUGACAUAAAGCUUGUUCGAUAUGUGCAUAUAUCUUGGUGAUUUAAAGGCAAAUAGAAAAAGACGGUAAAACACGUGUUCAUUAUAAAUUUACAUCUACUACUCUCUUGCAAAGCUAUAGGAUUGCAUCCUGUAACACGAACACAAAAAGUUUGAAACAAGAGAGAGGAUGAAUUCAACUAACAUUACACCAAUGUACCAUGAAGCUACAGAGAUAAUUCAAUCAUAAUUAUUAACAAAAAGAACUAUGAGAGACUAAGAAAGCUGUAUAAUCAUUAGUGUUGAUCAAUUUCCACGAGGAUUUAUUGCCCCUUUAUGAAGAACUUUUUAAGCUCAUUUACUUUUUCUCUUAUUUACGAGAAACUUCUGCACCGUUUCAUCACCCUAUACUAAUGAUGGACACAAACUUUUAAAUUUAUAAAUUUAUGAUGUGACUAAAACAUGAAUAAACGCUAUUGUAUCAAUGAACAAUCGAAAAAUCUCAUCAAAGAAGAAAAUUAUUAGAAAGAAAAGGAAAUAACUGUAAAAGAUAGAUUAAGGUCAAGGGUAAAGUUCAGCGGUAAGAAUGAAAAGAAGGUGCAGGUGGAGAUGGGUCAGAGUAAUUUUAAACAACCGUGCGACUGGUUUCUCGAGAUUUCACGCUGGUUCCUGACAGGUAAUGCCCUCGGGACGAACAUGGAAAAAAACCAAAUGGAAACCUAAUGUAUCGCUUCAAACGGACCUGUCAUUGAAACUGAUCAUUCCACGCGGGAGGUACGGAUCCUUGCGUCUUAUUCUUGACCGACUACUUCUGGCCAAUCAUCCCGCAUUCUGAAUGGGCCACCUGCAGUUACGGAAAGAAGGGAUGCAUGAUAAACUCGAACCGUUUGACCAGAUAGAUUAGUCCAGAAUCCUUCUUUCUUCGAGCAGAUAAUGGACAAUGCGACGUUUCAUCGUGCAUGGAUUUUCGUAUGAAAAGAUAAGAAGCGCAGAAGGGGAAAGUCACAUGAAUCAAUGUAUGUAGAAAGAUAAGGGUUGUUCAAGGACAGCGGAGUUUAAAGAGACAAACGGUGAAUUCCACGUCUCAAUUUCUAUGGACUCGAAAAUAUAUGCAUUCGGAAAGCCAUAUUUUAGGUUCGAUUGUAUCCACGACAAAGAGAAAACAUGAAAAAAGAAAAUGAUGAAAAAGGGAAGAACGAACGCGGUCAUUCAAAGACACAUCGAUAUUCCCCAUGCUCUCCAUCUUGUCGUCACGAUAUAAAAUACCGGCUAAAAAAGGAGCGCUGAAUGGCCGAUACCUGACUAAAAACCGGACUUGUUCUCGUUACACGAAGCCAAAGAAACGAAGCAGUUGGUUGCAGCACGGUGCAGGUGGGUUGCCAGAUGGCCAGAACGGAAACAGUGAAUGAAGGAACGAAAAGAAACGAAAGGAACACCGUUCAUCACGAAUACGCGACAAGACAAACGCGACCGCGCGAACCGAAUACCAAUUUCGAGUUCCUGUCGCGCGAUUCUGGGCAUUUAUUCUCAUUUUGUUCAACACGUUGUAAAAUUUCACACAAUUAUACAGAAAAAAAACGA
Apis florea (little honeybee) is the source of this 1698-nucleotide long non-coding RNA. Lineage: Eukaryota; Metazoa; Arthropoda; Insecta; Hymenoptera; Apidae. The record is from RefSeq and is a predicted model, not a curated record.